RNAcentral lists this ribosomal RNA (494 nucleotides) under uncultured Gammaproteobacteria bacterium. RNAcentral describes it as "bacterial SSU rRNA". It matches the Rfam family "Bacterial small subunit ribosomal RNA", at positions 554 to 1050 of the family's 1533-position model. Lineage: Bacteria; Pseudomonadati; Pseudomonadota; Gammaproteobacteria. The record is from RNAcentral.
UUGGGCGUAAAGGGUACGUAGGUGGUUCAUUAAGUUAUGUGGGAAAUACCUGGGCUUAACCUGGGAAUGUCGGAUAAUACUAGUGAACUUGAGUAUAGUAGAGGGUAGUGGAAUUUCCGGUGUAGCGGUGAAAUGCGUAGAGAUCGGAAGGAACACCAGUGGCGAAGGCGGCUACCUGGACUAAUACUGACACUGAGGUACGAAAGCGUGGGUAGCAAACAGGAUUAGAUACCCUGGUAGUCCACGCUGUAAACGAUGUCAACUAGCUGUUGGACACAUAAUUGUGUUUAGUGGCGUAGCUAACGCGCUAAGUUGACCGCCUGGGGAGUACGGUCGCAAGAUUAAAACUCAAAGAAAUUGACGGGGGCCCGCACAAGCGGUGGAGCAUGUGGUUUAAUUCGAAGCAACGCGCAGAACCUUACCCACCUUUGACAUCCUGUGACAGCUCCAGAGAUGGAGUUUUCUUCGGACACAGUGACAGGUGCUGCAUGGCU